UAGGGAAUCUUCCACAAUGGACGCAAGUCUGAUGGAGCAACGCCGCGUGAGUGAAGAAGGUUUUCGGACCGUAAAGCUCUGUUGUUGGUGAAGAAGGAUAGAGGUAGUAACUGGCCUUUAUUUGACGGUAAUCAACCAGAAAGUCACGGCUAACUACGUGCCAGCAGCCGCGGUAAUACGUAGGUGGCAAGCGUUGUCCGGAUUUAUUGGGCGUAAAGCGAGCGCAGGCGGAAGAAUAAGUCUGAUGUGAAAGCCCUCGGCUUAACCGAGGAAUUGCAUCGGAAACUGUUUUUCUUGAGUGCAGAAGAGGAGAGUAGAACUCCAUGUGUAGCGGUGGAAUGCGUAGAUAUAUGGAAGAAUACCAGUGGCGAAGGCGGCUCUCUGGUCUGCAACUGACGCUGAGGCUCGAAAAGCAUGGGUAGCGAACAGGAUUAGAUACCCUGGUAGUCCA
This 451-nucleotide ribosomal RNA is filed under the name uncultured bacterium. RNAcentral describes it as "partial 16S ribosomal RNA". It matches the Rfam family "Bacterial small subunit ribosomal RNA", at positions 355 to 797 of the family's 1533-position model. The record is from RNAcentral.